GGAGCGGUAGCUCAAUUGGUUAGAGCACCGGCCUGUCACGCCGGAGGUUGCGGGUUCGAUUCCCGUCCGCUUCG
Molecule: transfer RNA, 74 nt
Organism: Rubritalea squalenifaciens DSM 18772
Lineage: Bacteria; Pseudomonadati; Verrucomicrobiota; Verrucomicrobiia; Verrucomicrobiales; Rubritaleaceae
Rfam family: tRNA
About the family: Transfer RNA (tRNA) molecules are approximately 80 nucleotides in length. Their secondary structure includes four short double-helical elements and three loops (D, anti-codon, and T loops).
Source: Rfam